RNAcentral lists this ribosomal RNA (301 nucleotides) under uncultured bacterium. Its description in RNAcentral is "partial 16S ribosomal RNA". It matches the Rfam family "Bacterial small subunit ribosomal RNA", at positions 510 to 808 of the family's 1533-position model. The record is from RNAcentral.
AGUCGCCGCGGUAAUACGAAGGGGGCUAGCGUUGUUCGGAAUUACUGGGCGUAAAGCGCACGUAGGCGGACAUUUAAGUCAGGGGUGAAAUCCCGGGGCUCAACCCCGGAACUGCCUUUGAUACUGGGUGUCUAGAGUAUGGAAGAGGUGAGUGGAAUUCCGAGUGUAGAGGUGAAAUUCGUAGAUAUUCGGAGGAACACCAGUGGCGAAGGCGGCUCACUGGUCCAUUACUGACGCUGAGGUGCGAAAGCGUGGGGAGCAAACAGGAUUAGAUACCCGGGUAGUCCCUGUCUCUUAUACA